Molecule: ribosomal RNA, 269 nt
Filed under: uncultured prokaryote
Description: partial 16S ribosomal RNA
Rfam family: Bacterial small subunit ribosomal RNA
Source: RNAcentral
UACGGAGGAUCCGAGCGUUAUCCGGAUUUAUUGGGUUUAAAGGGUGCGCAGGCGGGAGAUUAAGUCGGCGGUGAAAUUUUGCAGCUCAACUGUAAAAGUGCCUUCGAUACUGGCUUUCUUGAGUGUGGAUGAAGUAGGCGGAAUUUGUGGUGUAGCGGUGAAAUGCUUAGAUAUCACGAGGAACUCCGAUUGCGCAGGAAGCUUACUAAACCACUACUGACGCUCAUGCACGAAGGCGUGGGGAUCAAACAGGAUUAGAUACCCGCGUA